Molecule: unclassified non-coding RNA, 240 nt
Filed under: soil metagenome
Description: partial contains 5.8S ribosomal RNA, internal transcribed spacer 2, and large subunit ribosomal RNA
Source: RNAcentral
AACGGUCUAUACCUGCGGUACCUGCGGAGGGAUCAUUAUCGAGUGUUGGCCUACUUGUAGGCCGUCCUCCCACCCUUUGUUUAAAGACCUGUUGCUUCGGCGUUUCGAUUCAUUUUGAUUUGAAUGGACCGUCGGCUCUUGAGCGGACGUGUUAUUCGCCGAAGGACUUUUAAACUCUGUUUUUGAGUUGUCUGAGUUAAAUUCAAAAAAGAAAAACUUUUAACAACGGAUCUCUAGAUC